AAUAUGAAAUCUGGCCUCUUCGGGGUCCGAGUUGUAAUUUGUAGAGAGUGCUUCGGGUGAGACCGCGGUCUAAGUCCAUUGGAACAUGGCGUCCCAGAGGGUGAGAAUCCCGUAUGCGACCGUGGCUCGAGCCCAUGUGAAGCCUCUUCGACGAGUCGAGUUGUUUGGGAAUGCAGCUCUAAAUGGGUGGUAAAUUUCAUCUAAAGCUAAAUACUGGCUGGAGACCGAUAGCGCACAAGUAGAGUGAUCGAAAGAUGAAAAGCACUUUGGAAAGAGAGUUAAACAGUACGUGAAAUUGUUGAAAGGGAAGCGCUUGCAACCAGACCUGCCCGUAGGCGAUCAACCGCUGUUCUCAGCGGUGCACUCGUUCUGCGAUCAGGCCAGCAUCGGUUCGGGCGGCCGGAUAAAGGCCUUGGGAAUGUAGCUCCCUUUCGGGGGAGUCUUAUAGCCCUCGGUGCAAUGCGGCCAGCCGGGACCGAGGACCGCGCUUCGGCUAGGAUGCUGGCGUAAUGGUUGUAAGCGACCC
RNAcentral lists this ribosomal RNA (526 nucleotides) under Melanohalea aff. multispora SL-2012. RNAcentral describes it as "eukaryotic LSU rRNA". It matches the Rfam family "Eukaryotic large subunit ribosomal RNA", at positions 112 to 650 of the family's 3401-position model. The record is from RNAcentral. Lineage: Eukaryota; Fungi; Ascomycota; Lecanoromycetes; Lecanorales; Parmeliaceae.